RNAcentral lists this ribosomal RNA (373 nucleotides) under uncultured bacterium. RNAcentral's name for it is "bacterial SSU rRNA". It matches the Rfam family "Bacterial small subunit ribosomal RNA", at positions 527 to 898 of the family's 1533-position model. The record is from RNAcentral.
GUAGGGGGCAAGCGUUGUCCGGAAUCAUUGGGCGUAAAGCGCGUGUAGGCGGUUCGAUAAGUCUGCUGUGAAAGUCCAGGGCUCAACCCUGGGAUGCCGGUGGAUACUGUCGGGCUAGAGUGCGGAAGAGGCGAGUGGAAUUCCUGGUGUAGCGGUGAAAUGCGCAGAUAUCAGGAGGAACACCAAUUGCGAAGGCAGCUCGCUGGGACGUUACUGACGCUGAGACGCGAAAGCGUGGGGAGCAAACAGGAUUAGAUACCCUGGUAGUCCACGCCGUAAACGAUGGGCACUAGGUGUGGGGGGUGUCGACUCCCUCCGUGCCGAAGCUAACGCAUUAAGUGCCCCGCCUGGGGAGUACGGCCGCAAGGCUAAA